RNAcentral lists this long non-coding RNA (37204 nucleotides) under Triticum aestivum (bread wheat). RNAcentral describes it as "long non-coding RNA (TAES_LNC021861)". The stretch from base 11354 to 11476 matches the Rfam family "MIR1120/MIR1122 microRNA precursor family". Lineage: Eukaryota; Viridiplantae; Streptophyta; Magnoliopsida; Poales; Poaceae. The record is from RNAcentral.
GAGAGGUUAAAUUUAGUUGAAAGAGAAAACGAGUACUUGAAAGAAAAAUUGAAAAGAAUUGAGGGGGAGAAGAUGGAAUUGGAGUUGCAUGUUGCCGAUGUCGUCGAUGAUCACAAGAUCAAGAUGAAGAAAAUGCGCUUGAAGAUUAGAAAGAUUAGAAAAUAUGCCAUCGAUAGUGAGGCUUGGUAUCAUUAUGCUGUUGGAUCAAUUGUUAUCUUAGUUGCAAUCUUGAUCGCAUUUGUUGUUGCAUUUAAAUGCUUUAGCUAGAGAGUUAUUUGUUUGUUGCAUUUAAGUGUUGUAUGAACUUUAUGUAUGAACUUGUAUUAAUUUGGUCUAUUCGGUGUUGUGUAAUGAAGAUGAGCCGGCAAUGGAUGUACGAUGACUGAUGCUCUCCCCAGUUCGUUGAGGGCGUGCAUACUUUUCUGCUUGCGGCUGAGGCAAACAAGCGGGCGGAUGGUUUUAUGCCUUGUCCAUGUGCUGGCUAUAAGAAUGGUCGCAAUUACUCUACGUCAAGAACCAUUCACGUCCACCUGUUUGAGUCCAGUUUCAUGCCCCACUAUAAUGUUUGGACCAAGCACGGAGAAAGAGGGGUUAUGAUGGAAGACAAUGAAGAAGAAGAGGACGACGACAGCUAUCCUGGCCAUGGGUUCCCUGAAUACGAUGAUACAACAAUGGGGGAAGAAGCUGAGCCGGUAAUGCGGGAAGAAGCUGAGCCGGCAAUGCGGGAAGAAGCUGAAGAAGAGGCAUCAGAUGAGCCCGUUGAUGAUCUAGGUCGGGCCAUUGCCGAUGCAAAGAGAAACUGCGCAAGUGAUUUGGAGAAGAAGAAGUUGCAGCGCAUGUUAGAGGAUCACAAAAAAAUUGUUGUACCCGAAUUGCGUAGGUGACAAGAAAAAGUUGGGCACCACACUGGAAUUGCUGCAAUGGAAGGCAGAGAAUGGUGUAUCUGACAAGGGAUUUGGAAAGUUGCUGGUAAUGAUAAAGGAUAUGCUUCCAAAGGACAACAAAUUGCCCGAGAGUACGUACGAAGCAAAGAAGGUUGUCUGCCCUCUAGGGUUAGAGGUGCAGAAGAUACAUGCAUGCCCUAAUGAUUGCAUCCUCUACCGCGGUGAGUACGAGGAUUUGAACGCUUGCCCGGUAUGUGGUGCAUUGCGCUAUAAGAUCAGCCGCGAUGAGCAUGGUGAUGUCGAGGGCGAGCGCCCCAGGAAGAAGAUUCCUGCCAAGGUGAUGUGGUAUUCUCCUAUAAUACCACGGUUGAAACGUUUGUUCCAAAACAAAGAGCAUGCCAAGGCAAUGCGAUGGCACAGAGAAGACCGUAAGAAAGACGGAAAGUUGAGAGUACCAGCUCACGGGUCGCAGUGGAGAAAUAUCGAAAGAAAGUACGGGAAGGAGUUUGCAGAUGAUGCAAGGAGCGUAUGGUUUGGUCUAAGCGCAGAUGACAUUAAUCCUUUUGGGGAGUAGAGCAGCAACCAUAGCACCUGGCCUGUGACUCUAUGUUUGUAUAACCUUCCUCCUUGGUUGUGCAUGAAGCGGAAGUUCAUUAUGAUGCCAGUGCUCAUCCAAGGCCCUAAGCAACCCGGCAACGACAUUGAUGUGUAUCUAAGACCAUUAGUUGAAGAACUCUUACAACUGUGGAAUGGAACAGGUGUACGUGCGUGGGAUAAGCACAUGGGGGAAGAAUUUGACCUAAAGGCGUUGCUGUUCAUGACCAUCAAUGAAUGGCCUGCUCUCAGUAACCUUUCAGGACAGACAAACAAGGGAUACCGCGGAUGCACGCACUGUUUGGAUGAUACCGACAGUAUAUAUUUGAAUAGUUGUAAGAAGAAUGUGUACCUGGGACAUCGUCGAUUUCUUCCGAGCAGGCAUCCUGUAAGAAAGAAAGGCAAGCAUUUCAAAGGUGAGGCAGAUCACCGGACGAAGCCUCGCCACCGUACUGGUGCUGAUGUACAUGAUAUGGUCAAGGAUUUGAAGGUGAUAUUUGGAAAGGGUCCUGGCGGACAACCUGUUCCAAAGGACGCUGACGGAGGCGCACCCAUGUGGAAGAAGAAGUCUAUAUUUUGGGACCUGCCAUAUUGGAAAGACCUAGAGGUCCGCUCCGCAAUCGACGUGAUGCACGUGACGAAGAAUCUUUGCGUGACCCUGCUUGGCUUCUUGGGCGUGUAUGGGAAGACAAAAGAUACACCUGAGGCACGGGAGGACCAGCAACGUAUGCACGGAGAAUACGACAUACAUCAGGGUCAUGCAAGCUACGCUCUUACCAAAGAAGAGAAGGAAAUCUUCUUUGAAUGCCUGCUCAGUAUUAAGGUACCGUCUGGCUUCUCGUCGAAUAUAAACGGAAUAAUAAACAUGGUAGAGAAAAAGUUCCAGAACCUAAAGUCUCAUGACUGCCACGUGAUUAUGACGCAACUGCUUCCGGUUGCAUUGAGGGGGCUUCUACCGGAAAACGUUCGAUUAGCCAUUGUGAAGCUAUGUGCAUUUCUCAAUGCAAUCUCUCAGAAGGUAAUCGAUCCAGAAAUCAUACCAAGGUUACAAAAUGAUUUGGUGCAAUGUCUUGUCAGUUUCGAGUUGGUGUUCCCACCAUCCUUCUUCAACAUCAUGAUGCACGUCCUAGUUCACCUAUGCGAAGAGAUUAACAUUUUGGGUCCUGUAUUUCUACACAAUAUGUUCCCCUUUGAGAGGUUCAUGGGAGUCUUAAAGAAAUAUGUUCAUAACCGUGCUAGGCCAGAAGGAAGCAUCUCCAAGGGCCAUCAAAAUGAGGAGGUCAUUGAGUUUUGUAUUGACUUUAUUCCUGACCUUAAGCCGAUUGGUGUUCCUGAAUCGCGGCAUAAGGGCAGACUGGAUGGAAAAGGCACGCUAGGAGGGAAACAAAUAAUAUGUAUGGAUGGACAUUCUCUCACUGAAGCACACUACACAGUUCUACAGAAUUCCGCCUUGGUGGCUCCGUAUAUGGAUGAACACAAGAAUUUGCUACGCUGCAAACACCCGGAGCGGUCUGAUGACUGGAUUACACGUGAACAAACCAGGAGUUUCGCCAGCUGGUUGCAGACACGUACCAUGCAUGACACCUCUAUUGAAGAUGACCUGUACUUGCUGUCCCAGUUACCAUCUUCGAAUAUAAUGACUUUCAAAGGGUACGAGAUAAAUGGUAAUACAUUUUACACGAUUGCCCAAGAUAAGAAGAGCACCAACCAAAACAGUGGUGUCCGCUUUGAUGCAGAAACCAAGACGGGAAAGGAAACAUAUUAUGGUUAUAUACAGGACAUAUGGGAACUUGACUAUCGACGUGGUUUAAAGGUCCCUUUGUUUCGGUGCAAAUGAGUCAAUAUGACACGAGGCGGGGUAACGGAAGACCCGCAGUACGGAAUGACAAUAGUGGAUCUCAACAAUCUUGCGUAUGCAGACGAACCAUUCGUCCUAGCCAAUGAUGUGGCACAGGUUUUCUAUGUGAAGGACAUGUCUACCAAGCCAAGAAAAAGAAAAGAUAAGGAAGCGAAUGCAUCGUACGAUGAGCCAAAGCGGCACAUAGUUCUUUCUGGGAAGAGAAACAUUGUGGGAGUGGAUGACAAGACAGACAAGUCAGAAGGUUAUGAAAAGUUUGAUGAAAUUGCUCCAUUCACAGUGAAUAGUGACCCGAGCAUCCCGUUAAAUGAUGAAGAUUUUCCAUGGUUACGGCGCAAAGGGACACACGCGAAGAAAAAGUUUCACACCCAAAGAUCUGGGAUGUGAUCGGCUUCACUAGCUAUCAUCACUUUCUUCUGUGUUUCGCACCGAGAGGGGAAUCUCUGUAAUAGUUAGGGUAGUUAUGUGUUUUGGCAUUUGAAACGCGAAGAAAUUUUAUGUGCAAACAAAUUUACACUAAUUUCAAAUAAUUCAAAAUUUAAACUAUUCAAAUUUGAAAACUACGGGCACUAACAGAAAAAAUAGCAGAAAAGAAAGAAAAACUAUAGCUGAAAAGAAAAAAAACUAUAUAAAAAACUACUCAAAAAUAAAUAGAAGAAAAUAAAUAUAGCAGAAAAGAAAAAACUACUCAGAAAUAAAUAGAAGAAAAAAUAAAGCAGAAAAGAAAAAAAAUUAUAUUUGCUAUUUUUCAGUCGUUUACAAAAUGACCGUGAAAUUGAAAAUCACUACAAAAUGAACUCUGAAAAUGUUGAAUUUUCGCAAACUAGAUGAAAAACUACUCACAAAUAAAUAGAAGAAAAUAAAUAUAACAGAAAAGAGAAAACUAUACAAAAAACUACGCAAAAAUAAAUAGAAGAAAAUAAAGCAGAAAAGAAAAAAACUAUAAAAAAAAAUUGGGGCGCUGUCCUGUGGGCCUGAUAGGCCACAGGUGUUUAACUACAGGCCUUAAAGGCCCAGCAGACUCACAGGGCAGCGCGCAGAGUUUAGACCCACAAGCCUGCUAGCUAUAUAGAGGAGUUCGAAGUGGUGGCCGUGGCUGGGUUUAUAAACCAGUGUGGCUGCCCUUCGCCCGGCGAGGUGGGACUAAACUUUGGGGUGGCAGCGCGACCCCUUUAGUACCGGGUCGUGGCACAAACCGGUACUAAAGGGGGGGCCUUUAGUACCGGUUUGUGCCACCACCCGGUACUAAAGGGGGUCGCUUCCCGCCGCUUGGGCUGGCCAAAACAGACCUUUAGUACCGGUUGGUGGCUCCAACCGGUACUAAAGAUGCCUUCUAUAUAUACAACACUUCGAAAAAUUUCAUUCUUCCUCUGUUUCCGUCGUCUCCAUCGCCGUCGCCGCCCCCGUCCCCAUCGCCGCCCUCGUCUCCGUCGCCGCCCCCGUCCCCGUCACCGCCGUCGUCUCCGUCGCCGCCCCGGGCCCGCCCCCGUCCCCGUCGCCGCCCUCGUCUCCGUCGCCGCCCCCGUCCCCGUCGCUGCCGUCGCCUCGCCGUCGCCGUCACCCCGCUGUGAGCUCUCCCCCUCUAACCUCUCUCCCUCGCCCCCGGCGGCCACCAUGGGCGCCGCCCCUCCCAGCCCCGAGCACACACACACACACAAGCAUGAAUUAGUAUAUAAUUUAGAUUAUUUAGAUUAUUAUUGUUUUAGUUAUCAAAACACACACACACACACACAAGCAUGAAUUAGUAUAUAAUUUAGAUUAUUAUUGUUUUAGUUAUCAAAAAUUUUUAUAUGGAAAUUAGUGUUUAAUUAGUGUUUAAUUAGUAUGGAAAUUUUUUAUGUUUAAUUAGUAUAUAAUUUAGAUUUUUAUUAUUAGUAUAUAAUUAGUGUUUAAUUAGUAUGGAAUUUUUUUAUAUAAUGUUGUUUUUCAGUUUUUUAAUGGAUGUAUAGAAGUUGUGUUUUCUGUUUUUAGUGUUAGAUGCUUAAUUAGUAUGAAAUAGUAUAUAGAUUUUUGAAAUAGUAGAAAUGUUAGAAAUUUUAGUUAUCAAAAUCCAAUCAUUAAAAAAAUAUUACUUUUUGCGGGCAUAUAGCUAGUAUUUGUUCUCGACGAUGCCCGGCCCGCAUCCUCGCCGUCGACCCGUCCGCGACGAUGUCCAGCCGACCCCUGUCCGGGACUGGGCUCCGCCGGGCUGGCACUGGGAGGUGCUGCCUGGAGGGGCGCGCCGCUUGAUGAGGAACCCGGCCCCGGGUUCCGUCGUCGACCCUGAUCUCGUUUGGUGGCGUUCGCGUGGGCCAGUUUCGGUGCGGAGGGACCCGGCCCCGCCGGAGGAAGUACGUCGCCGUGUCAGGGAGGAGGACGAGCACGUCCAUCGCUACAUGGUUGCGUUAAAGGGCGGCAGGUUCUCCAAUACCUGGCAGUAUCUUCGGGGAUCUCACUUCAGCUAUGGUCCUGUGAGGGUUCCUUCUCUUUGGGUGUCCACCGCCCGCACCGCAGGAACCGCGAGUGUCCUAGAUUCUUCUGUAGUAUUCGAUCUUUAAUUAGCUAGCCAGUGAUGUACUAUUCAAUAUUAUAUAUUAUUCGAGACAAUGUAUUCGAGAUUAUAUCUAUUAUUCUAUACGAAGUAUUCGAGAUUAUAUCUAUUAUUCGAGACGAUGUAAUUUGAAUACUAAAUUGUUUUAUAUUUCUUUUGAAUUAGUUAAAUAAAAGCUAUGGUAGACAAUACCGACAGAGAGGGAGAACAGACCAUGUUCGAUAUGAUACGCGGGCCAGAUGAUGAUCAGAAUGAAGAAGAUUAUGACGGCUCCGAAUUUCUAAACAACACCGGAGAGGGUGAUAUGAUAUUCGAUCGCGACGACCGAAUUGAUGAAGUCAUGAACUACGAUUAUGACGAUGAUGAAGAACAUGUUGAUCCUGAAACAACAAAGACCGGUGAGGUAUAUAUAUUUAUAUAAGCAGGUAUCUGGUGAUCAUCACAUGUUUUAAAUGACUUGAAGAUAUAUUAACAAAUCGAUCUUUGUUCUUUCAGCCAUCCGGAUCGAGCAAAUCUUCAGGCAAAAGGACGAAACAAGGCCCGAACAAAAAGUUGAAGGAGGGCAUAAAGUACAAUAUCGAGGCAUUCAGACCUAAUGGCGAACCAUUAGCGCCUAAGAAGAUUGCGGACAAGUUCGUUCGUCAGUGCGGAGUUCUUGUGAAGGACCAACUCCCAAUCUCCCUUCAAGAAUGAAGAGAGCCAGCAAAAGACAAAAGACAAAAAGGCAAAGAGGACGCUGCUCCACGUCCAGAUGUUACUUUUGUCGACAAGAAUCAAAAAGAUCUGCUUUGGGAUACUCUCAUGGAACAUUUCACCCUACCAGAUCAUUUCACAGAAGCAGAUGUGCAGAAAGUCAAGGACGCUUCUCUUAGGAAGAUGGCGGUUGCAUUCAAGAACCACAAGAAUCGUGAAUGGAACAAGUACGUCAAGGGAGGAAGGAAGACUCCAGUAUUCGAGGGAACCCUAGAGAACCAACGUGCUCAUUGGGACAAUUUCGUGAAAUUCAAGGAUUCAGAAUUAGCUAAGGAACGGUCGAGAAUAAACAAGAAGAAUGCCGAAAAAAAGGAUAAGUUCCAUAAGCUGGGGCAGGUGGCUAUGCGGUGGCAAUGCCUAAGUGGGAUAAGUCUGAGAAAGACAUGGAGGAUGCAGGUGCCACUCCGGUUACUAAGAGCUGGCCCCCCAGGGUCAGGACAUGGUUCUAUGCGCAUGGGGGGGGGGGAGUUGGACAUGAAGACAGGCAAUGUUUCGACGAGGGCAAGUCUGAAGGGAGCCGACGAUGCGAUACUUGUUGCAAUAGAAGAGGCACGAUCGGGGGUGUUCGAGCCCAACAGAGAGAACGACGAGCUUACGCGUGCCCUGGGAAAUCCUGAACACCCGGGAAGAACACGAGGCAAGGGCGCUAUUCCGUGGUAUGAGGGGUUUUCAGACUGGAACAUCGACUACAGAACCCGUGCGAGAAAGAAGAUUGCGGAGGAGAAGAAGAGGAAGAUGGAGGAGGAGCAGAGGAAGCGGGACUAUGAACGCCUUCAAGGCCUAGAAGCAAGUCAAGCGGAAUUGGCAAUCAAAUUCCAGCGGCAGCAGGAGCAGAUCGACUCACUUACCCAGCAAAGGGGGUCUCAGCAGCUGCAGCAGCUGGCGAAUGAUCCAGCAUUGGAUAGCACCGCCCCAUCCAUGCCGAGAAGCAGCAUGGGUUCCGCCCCGGACGACGCAAUGCUGGAUAGAUACCCCGUGGAUGACAUCACGGAGAACACUAGCUGCGAGCUACACGUCAAAAUGAAGAACAUAUCCAUGAAGGUGGCGGACGCCGUUGCUUUUACAAAUCCCCCCAAGGAAACCUUCCAUUGCAACCCGAUUCCAGCGGGCUAUGCUCGUGUCUUGGUUGAUGAGGUGGUGGACCCAUAUUCGGAGCUACAUCUUGACUAUCCUGGAGGUGACGACGAGCGCUUUCUCGGAGAGGCCAAACAUCGUAUCAUCCUAUGGAAAAAGGAUUGCAUCAUCUUUCGAAGGCCACCGACACCGCGUCAGCCGACUCCUCGUUGAAGUCCGCCACCGAGUCAGCAGUCUCCCACUCCUGCAAGUCCACCAAGUCCGGCAAAGUGUCAGGCCACUCUUCCUCCAAGUCCAGCAAAGUGUCAGGCCACUCCUCCUCCUCCAAGUCCGCCACAGCGUCAGACGUCCACUCCUCCUCCAAGUCCGGCACAACCUCAGGCCACUCCUCCUCCAAGUCCAGCACAGCUUCAGGAGGCCACUCCUCCUCGUCCAACUCAGCCCCUUCAUCCAUCUCCGCCGCCUCAGCAAUCGCAGAAGAGACACCCCGCAGCUAUGGUGCGUAGCGGUACGAGUCGAGGUAGUACAGGAAGUACAGGCGGAGGCAAGCGAUAUAAAUAUGGUCCAAGCCUCACGCCUCUUCCGCAGAGGUCUUAUGACAGGUCCGAGGAGGAAAUCGCAGCCAUAUCGAAGUCCGAGGUGGAAGCCCAUUUUGCAUCGAAACCGCCACCGCCGCCAAGGGAGAAAGUGCCCGAGGAAACGAUUGACCACUUCAUUCGUAUGGCUGAACCACCAGCUCCUAAGCCUAUUGACACAUACUAUGAGCGGCACAUCAGGAAGUUAAAUCGAGCACGUCUACGUAAGGAGGCGAGCUCGGGAUCGAGCAAACAAGAAGCAGCUGUCAAAAAAUGCGGGAAAACCAUUCCCCAGCUGGGAGAACAGGCGGCGCAAUCGAUCCCCUCGCUUGUUGUGCCAACAACACGUGACAGUACGCGCGCCCAAUAUUAUUGUGGGCAAACAGUUUACGUUCCUGAGGUGGGCAAUGUGGUAAUAACGAAGGAGCAUAUAAUGCAGGCUGAAGUUCUCAAAAUCACUGUUGGACAACUCCUCGAGAUCGAGCCCAUGCCUGUGCUUAGAGAGGAUGAAAUAAAACGGAAAUAUGUCCGGGGCCAACCUUUGGUCGAGCCAGACAAGGUCAAGAACCUCCCAACGAGAAUGUAUGAAUUGCAUCAAUGGUACAUGAACAUUACCAAGAUUUCCGAUGGAGUGUCCCUCAUGGUGAAUGUCAAGAAGGAGCAUUACUACCAUGAGAAAGCUGUGUCCGUUGAGUAUUCUGAACUGCUUCAGUUAUACAAUCAAGACGCACUCGACAAAUCUAUCGUCAGUUGCUAUUGUCUGUAAGUGAUUUCUUUCUGUAAUUUAAGUCUCAAGCUAGCUGUAGUGAUCCUUUUGAUCAAUCAUUACCUGUAAUUAUCCUCACUAUAUUCUUUUCUAUGGUAUUAUAUGCAGGAUGAAGAUGUAUGAAAUGAGAAAAGGUGGAUGCUUUGGCAUUGGGUUCAUUGACCCAAACACCGUUAAUGAAUACACAUGGAAAAUAGAUCCACGUCAUCAAAAGGCCGUAGAGGACAGCAUGCUAGAGUUCUUGAAGCGCCUCAAAUACAAUGAAGAUAUACUACUUCCUUACAACUUCCAGUGAGUCACACUGUCUUGUACUACAAAUUCUCUGUUUUUGCCUACUAGCUAGCUACAUGUUUUUGCUUACAUAUGCCCGCUUAAUUAAGACAUGCAAACGUGUGUGCAUGCAUAUUUCACUGGGUCUUGUGUAUCAUUAAAGUUGACGCCGGGACAGUUGAAAUACUGGACUCACUACUCAAAGAAAAAACUGACUAUAACAUCUUGUUUGGGAUAGUCAACAGGUAAUUUCAAUCAUUAUUAACUAUAUAUCUCGGCCUAUUUAGUUCGUCAUUUCAUGAUAUGAACUAUUUAAUAACCCCUUUAUUCAUUUUCUUUAUCGGCGGGCAGGGCUUGGGCAAGGUUCAUCAGCAUCAUGGAAGGUGAAUGGAAAGAAAAGCUUAAAUGGGGAAGACCCAAGGUAAGUAAUUAAGUAGUACUAGCUAGCUAGCUAGCAGCUGCCAUCUCUUUAAUUAUCAUGCUUGAUUAAUUAUUAUCUGAUCAAAUUCCAUUCUCGUAAAGGCCCUGAAGCAGGCACAGGGGACUGAUCUAUGUGCAUUCUGCGUUUGUGAGAACAUUCGCAUGAUGGCGUCCGGAAGGAGCUGAUCUCAAAGACAGGAAUGGGUACGCUUGUCAAAACACUAUUCACAAGUUUUACACCAUUAUCGAUAUCUAGUCACACAACUAAUACACAUGCAUAUUGAUCUCCUUCUUAACAAUUCAGAGAGGUGCGGGAGAAGCUCCUAGAAACGGAGCGCGUAGAAGCACUUCAAGAGGAAAUAGCGGGAUUUUUGCUCGACCAGGUCAUAAAUCUGAAGGGAUAAUACUAUUACCCGCUACCGCCCCCAUGAAAACCACUUCCAAUUGUCAUCGUGCUCCGAAGGCACCAAUAUAGGCUAAUGCCACUGGCUCCGAAGGCAACAUGCAUAUGUAGGAGAAAUUGUAUAUAGCUAUACAUGUGUGUAUGUGUGAAUUAAUUAAUAUGAUGGUUUGUGAGACAUUGAUGAUAUAUAUAUAUAUAUAUAUAUAUAUAUAUAUAUAUAUAUAUAUAUAUGCAUAACGUGUACAAUGUGUAGUAUCGUAAAAUACCAGCAAACGAAAAAGAAUUAAAAUGGAAACACAAAAUUAAAUGAAAAGGAAAUCAUAAAACUAAAACCCCCCCAAACCUUAUAGUACCGGUUGGUCUUACCAACCGGUACUAAAGGGCUCCCGGCCCCCGGAGCUGGCUCGUGCCACGUGGUUGCCCUUUAGCACCGGUUCGUGCUGAACCAGUACUAAAGGGGGGGGGGGCUUUAGUGACCACAAUUUAGUGCUGGUUACGUAAGCGGCACUAAAGGGCCUUACGAACCGGUGCUAUUGCCCGAUUCUGCACUAGUGGCCCCACCACCUGCAUGAUGUGGAUUGGUGUGGGAAGGUGUAGUCAGGUGACUUAUAAGUGAGGUGACAAUCAAACAGGCGUGACUUAUAAGUCACUAGUUUUAAGUCACCUGACUUAUAAGUCAGGUGACUUAUUGAAACCAAACAGGCCCUUAGCAUCCAUAUGCACGGGCCCCUUAAUUUAAUCAUUUUGAUGUGGACACCAGCGUCGACGGCGGUUAGGCCUCACGGCGAGUGGCAGGCGAAAUCGACCGAGUGCGCGUCGACGCUUUAAUGCGGGGUGAGCGCCACCGCCUUCCAGAGGGCAGCGGCAUGGACCUACAGUCGAGCGCCAUGGACGGACAGGACGUGGUCCCUCCUGUCGACGGCGCACUCGGCACCCGCCUGGACAUGAGCCCAAGGUCUUGUGCGUGUACUUGGACGGAGGCUGCCGAAGAUGGAGUCGGCGGGGACGCGGUGGGUGGUCCCCGGCGGAGCUUUAUGAAGAAGGUGAGACCUUCAAUUCGAGUCGUCCAUGGGUGCCAUCAGCGCACCUCUACCGGAGCUGGCCUCACCUACAGCAUCCACCCCGUCCACAACCACCAGCGAUGCCGUUCUAGAGCUUGCUGUGAGUGACAAGGCGCUCGAAGUCGAUACGGCCGACGUCGCCGCUCGGAUGAAAACGAGCGAAAACGAGUACUCCCUCCGUCCGGAAAUACUUGUCAUCAAAAUGAAUUAAAGGGGAUGUAUCUAGAUGUAUAUUAGUUCUAGAUAUAUCCUUUUUAUCCAUUUUGAUGACAACGGAGGGAGUAUUUAACAAAACACUACCACAAUUUAUGCAAACGUGCCUAGAAACUACCACUUUAUAAAUUUGUGCCGAAAACUACCAUUUUUUCUCUAAUCUUUAACUAAAAACUACAAUGUCCGUAAAUCGACCCAUUCGUCCAUUUUAAACGCACUUAUGACAGGCAUGGCCCGCAUGUAAGUGCUGGCAUCGUUAGUCAACGCCGUUUGUACCCGCUGCUGCUUGCCCGUUCCGCCGUGCGUCGCGCUUCCGCUCGCACGCUGGACACAACAAUGUUCAAUGCGCGCGGCUGUGCGUUCGCUUCCACGCACGCGAGAAGCAGGGCAGCGGUAGCGGGAACGGCGAAACAUGGCAGCAGGGCGCCUGCGCUCCUCGAGGUAGCCAAGGGUGGGGAACGCGCGGAUCCAGGCGGCAGGGAUGGUGGAUCCGGCGAGGUUGGAGAGGCCUGGGGUUGAGGUCCUCGCGGUCAGGGUCGCUGGAGCGGUGCGGUCUAAGCUUCGGGCCAUCCAUGACGUUUUCUAUAGCAGCAAAGGAUGAGAGUGUAAUGACCUGGCGGAUCUCGAUCUAGAAUUGGGAUGAGGAAGGAGAGAACAGAGUAGGUGAGAGGCGUGGAGAAGGGGAAGAAGGAUUCGAUCAAUCACUCGUUGCCCGAUUCCCUUGGUGCUUCGUACAUAUGUAGCUGCCCUUCCUGGGCUACCCUUACAUGGCCUCCGGCCCACACGCACACACGGGCUCAAGGCCCACACACACACUAGCGUUGCAGUUCAGUUAUCUGAAUAACUGACUGCACUAGUUCAUGUUGGGGAACGUAGCAGAAAUUCAAAAUUUUCCUACGUGUCACCAAGAUCUAUCUAUGGAGAAACCAGCAACGAGUAGAAGGAGAGUGCAUCUACAUACCCUUGUAGAUCGCUAAGCGGAAGCGUUCAAGUGAACGGGGUUGAUGGAGUCGUACUCGUCGUGAUUCAAAUCACCGAUGAUCAAGUGCCGAACGCACGGCACCUCCGCGUUCAACACACGUACAGCCCGGUGACGUCUCCCACGCCUUGAUCCAGCAAGGAGAGAGGGAGAGGUUGAGGAAGACUCCAUCCAGCAGCAGCACAACGGCGUGGUGAUGAUGGAGGAACGUGGCAAUCCUGCAGGGCUUCGCCAAGCACCGCGGGAGAGGAGGAGUACUUGGGAGAGGGGGAGGGCUGCACCAGAACUUCGUCUAUGGCUCCCAUGCGCCUCCCCACUAUAUAUAGGGGUGGAGGGGCUGGUUUCUUGCCCUCCAAGUCCAUUGGGGCGUUGGCCAAGGUGGGAGGAAAGAAAUCCCAUCAUUUCCUUCCCCACCGAUUGUUAUCCCCCCUUUUUAGGGAUCUUGAUCUUAUCCCUUCGGGAUAUGAUCUUAUUCCUUCUAAGGGGGGAUCUUGUUGCGCCUUGACCAGGGGUGUGGGGCCUUGCCCCCACUACCCACGUUCAUGUGGGUCCCCCCAUGCAGGUGGGCCCCACUCCGGAACCUUCUAGAACCUUCCCGGUACAAUACCGAAAAAUCCCGAACAUUUUCCGGUGGCCAAAAUAGGACUUCCCAUAUAUAAAUCUUUACCUCCGGACCAUUCCGGAACUCCUCGUGACGUCCGGGAUCUCAUCCGGGACUCCGAACAACAUUCAGUAACCACAUACAAACUUCCUUCAUAACCCUAGCGUCAUCGAACCUUAAGUGUGUAGACCCUACGGGUUCGGGAGACAUGUAGACAUGACCGAGACGUUCUCCGGUCAAUAACCAACAGCGGGAUCUGGAUACCCAUGAUGGCUCCCACAUGUUCCACGAUGAUCUCAUCGGAUGAACCACGAUGUCAAGGACUUAAUCAAUCCCGUAUUCAAUUCCCUUUGUCUAUCGGUAUGUUACUUGCCCGAGACUCGAUCGUCGGUAUCCAAUACCUUGUUCAAUCUCGUUACCGGCAAGUCACUUUACUCGUUCCGUAACACAUCAUCCCGUGAUCAACUCCUUGGUCACAUUGCGCAUAUGAUGAUGUCCUACCGAGUGGGCCCAGAGAUACCUCUCCGUUUACACGGAGUGACAAAUCCCAGUCUCGAUCCGCAUAAAACAAUAGAUACUUUCGGAGAUACCUGUAGUGCACCUUUAUAGUCACCCAGUUACGUUGUGACGUUUGAUACACCCAAAGCACUCCUACGGUAUCCAGGAGUUACACGCUCUCAUGGUCAAAGGAAGAGAUACUUGACAUUGGCAAAGCUCUAGCAAACAAACUACACGAUCUUUGUGCUAUGCUCAGGAUUGGGUCUUGUCCAUCACAUCAUUCUCCUAAUGAUGUGAUCCCGUUAUCAACGACAUCCAAUGUCCAUAGCCAGGAAACGAUGACUAUCUGUUGAUCACAACGAGCUAGUCAACUAGAGGCUCACUAGGGACAUAUUGUGGUCUAUGUAUUCACACAUGUAUUACGAUUUUCAGAUAAUACAGUUAUAGCAUGAAUAAAAGACAAUUAUCAUGAACAAGGAAAUAUAAUAAUAAUACUUUUAUUAUUGCCUCUAGGGCAUAUUUCCAACAGUAUCCCACUUGCACUAGAGUCAAUAAUCCAGUUCACAUCGCCAUGUGAUUAACACUCACAGGUCACAUCGCCAUGUGACUAAUACCCAAGAGUUUACUAGAGUCAUUAGUCUAGUUCACAUCACUAUGUGAUUAACACUCAAUGAGUUUUAUGUUUGAUCAUGUUGCUUGUGAGAGAGGUUUUAGUCAACGGGUCUGAACCUUUCAGAUCCGUGUGUGCUUUACAAAUCUCUAUGUCAUCUCCUAGAUGCAGCUACCACGCUCUAUUUGGAGCUAUUCCAAAUAACUGUUCUACUUGGAGCUAUUCUAAAUUGUUGCUCCAUUAUAUGUAUCCGGUCUCUCUACUCAGAGCUAUCCAGAUAGGUGUUUAGCUUGUAUCGACGUAACCCUUUACGACGAACUCUUUUACCACCUCCAUAACCGAGAAAAAUUCCUUAGUCCGCUAGUUACUAAGGAUAACUUUGACCGCUGUCCUAUGAUCCAUUUUUGGAUCACUCUUGUACCCCUUGACUGACUCAUGGCAAGGCACACUUCAGGUGCGGUACUCAGCAUGGCAUACUGUAGAGCCUAUGUCUUAAGCAUAGGGGACGACCUUCGUCCUUUCUCUCUUUUUUGCCGAGGUCGAGAUUUAAGUCUUAACUUCGUACCUUACAACUCAGGCAAGAACUCCUUCUUUGACUGGUCCAUCUUGAACACCUUCAAGAUCAUGUCAAGGUAUGUGCUCAUUUGAAAGUAUUAUUAAGCACUUUGAUCUAUCCUUAUAGAUCUUGAUGCUCAAUGUUCAAGUAGCUUAAUCCAGGCUUUCCAUUGAUAAACACUUUCAAAAUAACCCUAUAUGCUUUCCAGAAAUUCUACGUCAUUUCUGAUCAACAAUAUGUCAACAACAUAUACUCAUCAGAAAUUCUAUAGUGCUCCCACUCACUUCUUUGGAAAUACAGGUUUCUCAUAAACUUUGUACAAACCCAAAAUCUUUGAUCAUCAUCAAAGCAUACAUUCCAACUCCGAGAUGCUCACUCCAGUCCUUAGAAGGAUUGCUGGAGCUUUGCAUACUUAUUAGCAUCUUUCGGGAUUGACAAAACCUUCCGGUUGUAUCACAUACAACCUUUCCUCAAGAAAAUCAUCGAGGAAACAAUGUUUUGACAUCCUAUCUGCAAGAUUUCAUAAAUAAUGCAGUAAUCGCUAAUAUAAUUCCAACAGACUCUUAGCAUCGCUACGAGUGAGAAAAUCUCAUCGUAGUCAACUCCUUGAACUUGUCGGAAAACAUCUUAACGACAAGUCGAGCUUUCUUAAUGGUAAUUCUUACCAUCAUUGUCUGUCUUCCUUUUAAAAUCCAUCCGUACUCAUUUGCCUUACGACCAUCGAGCCGUUCUGCCAAAGUCUUCACUUUGUUUUCAUACAUGGAUCCUCUCUCGGAUUUUAUGGCCUCAAGCCAUUUAUCGGAAUCCGGGCCCACCAUCGCUUCUCCAUAGCUCGUAGGCUCAUUGUUGUCUAGCAACAUGACUUCCAAGACAGGAUUACGUACCACUCUCAAGUAGUACGCAUCCUUGUCAUCCUACGAGGUUUGGGAGUGACUUGAUCUGAAGUUUCAUGAUCACUAUCAUAAGCUUCCACUUCAAUUGGUGUAGGUGCCACGGGAACAACUUCCUGUGCCCUGCUACACACUGGUUGAAGUGAUGGUUCAAUAACCUCAUCAAGUCUCCACCAUCCUCCCACUCAAUUCUUUCGAGAGAAACCUUUCCUCGAGAAAGGACCUGAUUCAAGAAACAAUCCUUUAUUGCUUUUGGAUCUGAGACAGGAGGUAUACCCAACUGUUUUGGGUGUCCUAUGAAGAUGCAUUUAUCCGCUUUGGGUUCUAGCUUAUCAGCCUGAAACUUUUUCACAUAAGCAUCGUAGCCCCAAACUUUUAAGAAACGACAACUUAGGUUUCUCUAAACCAUAAUUCAUACGGUGUCAUCUGAACGGAAUUAAGUGGUGCCCUAUUUAAAGUGAAUGUGGUUGUCUCUAAUGCCUAACCCAUGAACGAUAGUGGUAAUUCGAUAAGAGACAUCAUGGUAUGCAUCAUAUCCAAUAGGGUGCAGUUAUGAUGUUCGGACACACCAUCACACUAUGGUGUUCCAGGCGGUAUUAAUUGCGAAACAAUUUCCACAAUGUCUUAAUUGUGUGCCAAAACUCGUAACUCAGAUACUCAUCUCUAUGAUCUUAUCAUAGACAUUUUAUCCUCUUGUCACGAUGAUCUUCAACUUUACUCUGAAAUUACUUGAACCAUUCAAUAAUUCAGACUUGUGUUUCAUCAAGUAAAUAUAUUCAACAUCUACUCGAAUCAUCUGUGAAGUAAGAACAUAACGAUAUUCACUGCAUACCUCAGCACUCAUUGGACUGGACACAUCAAAAUGUGUUACUUCCAACAAGUUGCUAUCUUGUUCCAUCUUACUGAAAACGAGGCUUUUCAGUCAUCUUGCCCAUGUGGUAUGAUUUGCAUAUCUCACGUGGUUCAAAAUCAAGUGAGUCCAAACGAUCCAUCUAUAUGGAGUUUCUUUAUGCGUAUACACCAAUGGACAUGGUUUGCAUGUCUCAAACUUUUCAAAAACGAGUGAGUCCAAAGAUCCAUCAACAUGGAGCUUCUUCAUGCGUUUUACACCAAUAUGACUUACAUGGCAGUGCCACAAGUAAGUGGUACUAUCAUUACUAUCUUAUAUCUUUUGGCAUGAAAAUGUGUAUCACUACGAUCGAGAUUCAAUAAACCAUUUAUUUAGGUGCAAGACCAUCGAAGGUAUUAUUCAAAUAAAUAGAGUAACCAUUAUUCUCCUUAAAUGAAUAACCGUAUUGCGAUAGACAUAAUCCAAUCAUGUCUAUGCUCAACGCAAACACCAAUCUCGGUGGUAGAGGGAGCGUGCGAUGCUUGAUCACAUCAACCUUGGAAACACUUCCAACACAUAUCGUCAGCUCACCUUUAGCUAGUCUCCUUUUAUUUCGUAGCUUUUUUUAUUUCGAGUUACUAACACUUAGCAACUGAACCGGUAUCUUAAUACCCUGGUGCUGCUCCAGUGGCUGUUCCCUUUAUUACAGAAGCACUUAGUCUCGGGUUUGGGUUCAACCUCGGGUUUCUUCACUGGAGCAGCAGCUGAUUUGCCGUUUCAUGAAGUAUCCCUUCUUGCCCUUGCCCUUCUUGAAACUAGUGGUUUCACCAACCAUCAACAAUUGAUGCUCCUUUUGAUUUUUACUUUCGCGGUGUCAAACAUCGUGAAUACCUCAAGGAUCAUCAUAUCUAUCCCUGAUAUGUUAUAGUUCAUCACGAAGCUCUAGCAGCUUGGUGGCAAUGACUUUGGAGAACCAUCUCUAUCUCAUCUGGAAGAUCAACUCCCACUCGAUUCAAGUGAUUGUUGUACUCAGACAAUCUGAGCACAAGCUCAUCGAUUGAGCUUUCUCCCUUAGUUUGCAGGCUAAGAAAAUCGUCGGAGGUCUCAUACCUCUUGACGUGGGCACUAGCCUGAAAUCCCAAUUUCAGCCCUCGAAACAUCUCAUAUGUUUCGCGACGUUUCGAAAACGUCUUUGGUGCCUCUACUUAAACCAUUUAACUGAACUAUCACGUAGUUAUCAAAGCGUGUAUGUUCGAUGUUCGAAACAUCCACAAACGACGUUUGGGGUUCAGCACACUGAGCAGUGCAUUAAGGACAUAAGCUUUCUACUGUCCGCAUAAUUGCUACUAUCAACUUUCAACUAUAUUUUCUCUAGGAACAUAUCUAAAACAGUAGAACUAAAGCGUGAGCUACGACAUAAUUUGCAAAAACCUUUUGACUAUGUUCAAGAUAAUUAAAUUCAUCUUAUGAACUCCCACUCAGAUAGACAUCCCUCUGGUCAUCUAAGUGAUCACAUGAUCCGAGUCAACUAGCCCGUGUCCGAUCAUCACGUGAGACGGACUAGUUAACGUCGGUGAACAUCUUCAUGUUGAUCGUAUCUACUAUACGGCUCAUGCUCGACCUUUCGGUCUCCGUGUUCCGAGGCCAUGUCUGCACAUGCUAGGCUCGUCAAGUUAACCCUAAGUGUUUUCGCUGUGUAAAACUGUCUUACACCCGUUGUAUGUGAACGUAAGAAUCCAUCACACCCGAUCAUCACGUGGUGCUUAGAAGCGACGAACUGUAGCAACGGUGCACAGUUAGGGGAGAACACUUCUUGAAAUUUUGUAAGGGAUCAUCUUAUUUACUACCGUCGUCCUAAGUAAACAAGAUGCAUAAACAUGAUAAACAUCACAUGCAAUCAAAUAGUGUAGUGACAUGAUAUGGACAAUAUCAUAUAGCUCCUUUGAUCUUCAUCUUCGGGGCUCCAUGAUCAUCUUGUCACCGGCAUGACACCAUGAUCUCCAUCAUCAUGAUCUCCAUCAUCGUGUCUUCAUGAAGUUUUCACGCCAACGACUACUUCUACUUCUAUGACUAACGCGUUUAGCAAUAAAGUAAAGUAGUUUACAUGGCGUUCUUCAAUGACACGCAGGUCAUACAAUAAAUAAAGACAACUCCUAUGGCUCCUGCCGGUUGUCAUACUCAUCGACAUGCAAGUCGUGAAUCCUAUUACAAGAACAUGAUCAAUCUCAUACAUCACAUAUUAUUCACCACAUUCUUGUUGGCCAUAUCACAUCACAAAGCAUACCCUGCAAAAAAAGUUAGACGUCCUCUAAUUGUUGUUGCAUGUUUUACGUGGCUGCUAUGGGUUUCUAGUAAGAACGUUUCUUACCUACGCAAGACCACAACGUGAUAUGCCAAUUGCUAUUUACCCUUCAUAAGGACCCUUUUCAUCGAAUCCGUUCCGACUAAAGUGGGAGAGACUGGCACCCGCUAGCCACCUUAUGCACCAAGUGCAUGUCAAUCGGUGGAACCUGUCUCACGUAAGAGUACGUGUAAGGUCGGUCCGGACCGCUUCAUCCCACAAUACCGUCGAAACAAGAUUGGACUAGUAACGGUAAGCAUAUUGAACAACAUCAACGCCCACAACUACUUUGUGUUCUACUCGUGCAAAGAAUCUACGCAAUAGACCUAGCUCAUGAUGCCACUGUUGGGGAACGUAGCAGAAAUUCAAAAUUUUCCUACGUGUCACCAAGAUCUAUCUAUGGAGAAACCAGCAACGAGUAGAAGGAGAGUGCAUCUACAUACCCUUGUAGAUCGCUAAGCGGAAGCGUUCAAGUGAACGGGGUUGAUGGAGUCGUACUCGUCGUGAUUCAAAUCACCGAUGAUCAAGUGCCGAACGCACGGCACCUCCGCGUUCAACACACGUACAGCCCGGUGACGUCUCCCAUGCCUUGAUCCAGCAAGGAGAGAGGGAGAGGUUGAGGAAGACUCCAUCCAGCAGCAGCACAACGGCGUGGUGAUGAUGGAGGAACGUGGCAAUCCUGCAGGGCUUCGCCAAGCACCGCGGGAGAGGAGGAGUACUUGGGAGAGGGGGAGGGCUGCGCCAGAACUUCGUCUAUGGCUCCCAUGCGCCUCCCCACUAUAUAUAGGGGUGGAGGGGCUGGUUUCUUGCCCUCCAAGUCCAUUGGGGCGUUGGCCAAUUGGGAGGAAAGAAAUCCCAUCAUUUCCUUCCCCACCGAUUGUUAUCCCCCCUUUUUAGGGAUCUUGAUCUUAUCCCUUCGGGAUAUGAUCUUAUUCCUUCUAAGGGGGGAUCUUGUUGCGCCUUGACCAGGGGUGUGGGGCCUUGCCCCCACUACCCACGUUCAUGUGGGUCCCCCCAUGCAGGUGGGCUCCACUCCGGAACCUUCUAGAACCUUCCCGGUACAAUACCGAAAAAUCCCGAACAUUUUCCGGUGGCCAAAAUAGGACUUCCCAUAUAUAAAUCUUUACCGCCGGACCAUUCCGGAACUCCUCGUGACGUCCGGGAUCUCAUCCGGGACUCCGAACAACAUUCGGUAACCACAUACAAACUUCCUUCAUAACCCUAGCGUCAUCGAACCUUAAGUGUGUAGACCCUACGGGUUCGGGAGACAUGUAGACAUGACCGAGACGUUCUCCGGUCAAUAACCAACAGCGGGAUCUGGAUACCCAUGAUGGCUCCCACAUGUUCCACGAUGAUCUCAUCGGAUGAACCACGAUGUCAAGGACUUAAUCAAUCCCGUAUUCAAUUCCCUUUGUCUAUCGGUAUGUUACUUGCCCGAGACUCGAUCGUCAGUAUCCAAUACCUUGUUCAAUCUCGUUACCGGCAAGUCACUUUACUCGUUCCGUAACACAUCAUCCCGUGAUCAACUCCUUGGUCACAUUGCGCAUAUGAUGAUGUCCUACCGAGUGGGCCCAGAGAUACCUCUCCGUUUACACGGAGUGACAAAUCCCAGUCUCGAUCCGCAUAAAACAAUAGAUACUUUCGGAGAUACCUGUAGUGCACCUUUAUAGUCACCCAGUUACGUUGUGCCGUUUGAUACACCCAAAGCACUCCUACGGUAUCCAGGAGUUACACGCUCUCAUGGUCAAAGGAAGAGAUACUUGACAUUGGCAAAGCUCUAGCAAACGAACUACACGAUCUUUGUGCUAUGCUCAGGAUUGGGUCUUGUCCAUCACAUCAUUCUCCUAAUGAUGUGAUCCCGUUAUCAACGACAUCCAAUGUCCAUAGCCAGGAAACCAUGACUAUCUGUUGAUCACAACGAGCUAGUCAACUAGAGGCUCACUAGGGACAUAUUGUGGUCUAUGUAUUCACACGUGUAUUACGAUAUCCGGAUAAUACAGUUAUAGCAUGAAUAAAAGACAAUUAUCAUGAACAAGGAAAUAUAAUAAUAAUACUUUUAUUAUUGCCUCUAGGGCAUAUUUCCAACAGUUCAGUCCGCUACUGAUGCAUCAGUAGGCGCGACAUUGUCCUCCCCUUGAGGUGAAGCUCCUUCCCAGAUGCAGGCUGAUGGGUAGCACUGGCGAAGAACGGCAUAAUCUUCCCAAGUGGUGGCUGAUGGUGGCAUGUUUGCCCACUGGACACGGAGUUGCACAACUGGUGCAUCGCCUUUCUUCAUCAUCCUCCACUCCAAGAUCGCCACUGGCUCCGUUUCACCCCCAGUGAGAUCGGGCACCCGCGGCAGCUCGGCGAAGACUGGAGUGUAAUCCGGGGUGAAGGGUUUGAGCUGGGAGACGUGAAAUACCGGAUGGAUGCGGCUGUCAGGAGGCAACUGCAGGCGAUAUGCCAGAGUUCCAAUCCGCUCUGUCACUUCAAAAGGGCCGAAGAACUUGUAGGAGAGCUUGCGGCACGGGCGGUUCGCGACGGUCGACUGCGCGUACGGCUGCAGUUUAAGGAGCACUUUCUCGCCGACAUCGAAGGCGCGCUCCGUGCGAUGACGGUCGGCUUGCUUCUUGAAGAGAGUUUGGACGCGCGCGAGCUGGGCGCGUAGCAUCUCGGUGUGUGUUGUCCAGUCCAGCUCCGGCGACGCCGCUUGAUCUUGCAGGGUGGAGCUCAGGUGUGGUAGGCCGCCCAGGUUCGGUUCCUUGCCGUACAGUGCCUUGAACGGCGAAUAAUUGAGCGAGGAGUGAUGGGCGGAGUUGUACCAGAAUUCUGCCGCAGGAAGCCACUUGCGCCGCGUGUCGUGCACCGCGCACCGCAAGUACAUCUCGAGGCACUGGUUGACGCGUUCGGUCUGGCCGUCCGUCUGUGGGUGGUACACCAUGGAGUAGAGCAGCUUGAUUCCCGUGGCGGCGAGCAGUUCGCGCCACAUGGCGCUCGUGAAAAUCUUGUCGCGAUCCGAGACGAUGGAGUGAGGAACGCCGUGCAGCUUGAUGACGUGCUCCCAGAAUGAUCGGGCGACUUGCGCAGCGGUGAAGGGGUGGUGUAGUGGGAUGAAGUGUGCGUACUUGGUCAGACGAUCGACGACGACCAUGAUGGCAUCAGACCCCUCUGAUUUGGGAAGCCUCUCGACAAAAUCCAUGGUCAGAUCGUGCCAUGGUUCUGUUGGAAUUGGUAGGGGUUGCAGCUUGCCUGCGGGGUGCAUGUGCUCGUGCUUGGCAUGCUGACAGACGGCACACUGACGGACAAAAUCCUCCAUGGCGCGCUUCAGUCCAGGCCACCCGAACAGUUUCCGGAUGCGAUGGUACGUCGCCGUUGCGACGGAGUGACCCCCAAUAGCGCUGUGAUGCAGCGCGGCGAUCAGCUUGGUCUGCAGCGCAUAAUUGGCUCCAAUCCACAGACGCUCGCGCUGCCUGAUCACGCCAUUCUGAAGCAUGCGCCCUUGAUCAUCCGUGGUGGUGACUGCCAGCUUGGCCAGGAGUUCUUGUGAUUCAGGGUCUGUCUCGUAGGAGUUCGUGACUUCUUGUAACCACUGUGGCUGACAGACUGAUAGCGCAUCCAGUGUCAACAGAUGGCCCACCCUGGAUAGCGCGUCAGCGGCACCAUUGUCAACGCCUUUCUUGUACCGAAAGGUGAACUGCAAGCCCACCAUCUUGGACAUGGCCUUGCGCUGCAGCUCAGUCACCAGCCGUUGAUCCCCGAGUGUGCAGAGGCUCUUGUGGUCGGUGAGGAUUUCAAACGAAGCGCGCUGCAGGUAAGGUCUCCACUUGUCGAUGGCCAUCAUAACGGCCAAGAACUCCUUUUCAUACGUGGACAACUUCUGGUUCUUGAUCCCCAAAGCCUUGCUGAGAUAGGCGACGAGGUGGCCGUCCUGGGUCAGCACCGCGCCCACUCCCGUGUCGCUCGCGUCAGUCUCAAUGGCAAAAGGGCGAGAGAAAUCCGGAAGCGCUAGCACUGGUAUGCUCACCAUCGCUUGUUUCAGCAUGUCGAACGCCUGCUGGGCCUUGUCGCUCCACUCGAAUCCCUUCUUGGUCAGGAGCUGGGUGAGCGGCUUCGCAAUGAUGCCAUAAUGUGGGACGAACUUGCGGUAGUAGCCGGUGAGGCCAAGAAAACCACGCAGUUCAGUUGGUGUAGAGGGCACCGGCCACGCCUGCAUCGCGCUCGUCUUGCUUUUGUCCGUGGCGACGCCGGCCUAUGAAAUGAUGUGGCCCAGGUACUCGAUGCUUUCCUGGGCGAAUGGACACUUGGAAGCCUCGGCGAACAGUUGAUGUUCGCGUAGCAGUUCAAGUGUGAGGCGCAAGUGUUGUUCAUGUUCCUGUAGAUCAAAGCUGAAGACCAAUAUGUCGUCAAGAAAAAUGAUGAUGAGCUUACAGACAUAGCGGCCGAAUAUGCUGUUCAUCAGGCACUGGAAGGUUGCCGACGCGUUGCAAAGGCCAAACGGCAUCACCCUGAAGUGAUAGUGCCCGUGGUGGGUUUUAAAUGCAGUUUUUGCUUCAUCCUCCUCACGCAUGCAGAUCUGAUGGUACCCUGCGCGGAGGUCGAUCUUGGAGAAAUAUUUUGCUCCCGCAAGCUCAUCCAGAAGUUCAUCCACAAUGGGCAGUGGGAAUUUGUUCUUCACCGUAGCAGAAUUCAGUCAACGAAAGUCAACACAGAAACGCCAGGUCCCAUCCUUUUUCUUCACUAGCAGGACUAGUGCGGCAUAUGGACUCAUGCUGUGUACAAUGACACCUGAUUGCAACAUCUCUUGCACUUGCUGCUCGAUCUCAUCUUUCUGUGCUGGCGAGUAGCGGUAUGGUUUGGUGUUGAUGGGGGUAGUGCCUGGCUCCAGAUGUAUGCCGUGAUCGUACUGACGAUGAGGGGGCAGGGCCUUGGGUUCAGCAAACAUGUCUUGAUAUUCAGAGAGCACUUUCUGAAUCCUGGGAGGUAUCGGCUCUGUAUUCUCUUUAUCUGACGGCUCAAUCGUGACCAGUGAUGCUGUCCAUAUGUUAUUGGCGACUUCCAUUCGGUGAAGUUCAUAAGUAUCCAGUCCGGCCAUGUGGGAGAGGUUGGUGGUGCGAACCCCUUGCAGUUGCACCGUCUUGCCCUCUGUUUCGAAGGAUAUCCGCUUCAGUUUCCAGUGACAGUUCAUCGGGCUGUGGUCAGAGAGCCAAUCCAUGCCCAAAACUGCGUCAUAUGCACUCAGCCGUAAUACCCGCAGAUCAGUGUGGAACGUCUGUCCUGGCACCUGCCAUGCCAAUUGCUUCACCACCUUGUUACAGUGCAGUCGUUGGCCAUUUGCUACCCGAACAGAGAUGGGCGGCAUCGCUUGGGUGUCGACCGCAAUGCGCUGAAUGAACGCCUCGCUGACGAAGCUAUGAGAACUGUCCGAGUCCACCAGGAGAAGCAUCACUUGAUCCCCCACUUGUGCUCGAAGGCGAACGGUGGACGGCGCGUCUUCGCCGGAAAUCCCGUGCUCCGAUAAGGUACAGCACUCCGGCUCGGGCAGGGCCGGCUCAUUGAGCAAUUGCAACGCGUGCACGGUGUCAUCCGAGAGGAUCUCACCGAAAUCACCCACUUCAAUCAUCAGUAUUUGUCCUGUGCGCUUGCACUGAUGUUCGCGGGAGUACUUGUCGCCACAGCGAAAACAGAGCCCGUUGGCUCGCGUGAAUUCGCGCAGCUGUCGCUCACGUGCAUACUCGUCGCCGCCCGGUCGUGGGGAAGGCGCUGCACGCUCUUGGUUGUGGCUGGGUGUUGCUGGAGGUGCCUGCCCACUGGAACAAUGCGCGGGCGCUGCAGCCGUUGCUUCUCCAGUUCUUCUUCCUGGAUCCUCACGAAAACAGCUGCGCGUGUGAUGCUUGUAGGGGCCUGCAAACGGACGCCCAAUCGCAGUUCAUCUUUUAGACCGAGAAGGAACUGGGAGAUGAAGAAUUGUGUGCUCAAGGUUGGAUCCAGAGACAAUAGGUGGUACAUGGAGGUCUUGAAUUGCUGGCAAUACUCUUGCACGCCCCCAGUCUGAUGCAAUUGCACUAGCUGAUGCAUCUGAGCUUCGAAUUCUUCUGGUCCGAACUCUGCUUCCACUGCUGUUCUGAAGGCUGGCCACGACAGAGCAGGGUGCGUCUGUCUGUACGCCUGAAGCCACAUGGCUGUGAGCCCAUCCAUGUACAGGCCGGCGGUGGCAACCCAACUGUGCCGCGGCACCCGGUAGAGCUCAAAGUACGAGAGACACCGCUCCAGCCAGAUGCGCGGCGCGCCGCCGUCGAAGCGGGGGAAAUCGUGCUUGGGCGGCUUGGUGUAGUGCUCAGCGCCCCGCUCGUACGCCGUGGGCGAGUUUUGCAGCAACAAAGGCGGCCCAUGGUUAAUGAGCCGGGUGAACGGCAACUGAGCUGCACCCUCCGUGUAGAGCGGUGGUGGUGGAGGUGGACGGGUCGUCGGAGGUGGAGGUGGUGGCGGCGGGUGGAAGGAGCCCGCGGUCGUCGACGUACCGGACGCAGAUGCCCCGUGGUUGCUUGUCGUGGCGGGAUCGAGGGGUGGAGGGGACUUGCGGGCCUCAUCCACAUCCGCUUGCGUCAGAUCGAUUUGCUUCGCCAGGUGCUUGAGCUCGGUGGAGACUUGGUCGUUGUAGGCGACUUGCGCUUGGUGGCGCUCGUCGGCGGUCCUCUGGUGGUCAUUGAGGCGGCGCAGGAUGGUCUCAAGGAGGCCCUGCAUCUUGUCUGUAGUUUCCGUCAUCGCGUCCAGCACGCGGCGGGUCUGCGCGGAGGGCUUGGCUGGUGCCGUGGUCGCGAUCCGGAUCGAGGCGAACCCCAAGUAGGAUUUCGAGCGAGCUCACCGAAGCGGCUCACACCUAGCUCGGUGGGUGUUACCGCCUGAUCGGGGACGCGGCGGCGACGGCGGCGGUAGCGGGUGGUGGGGAAAUUUUUUGGGAAGGCUCUGAUACCAGAUUGUAAUGCCCUGGCGGAUCUCGAUCUAGAAUUGGGAUGAGGAAGGAGAGAACAGAGUAGGUGAGAGGCGUGGAGAAGGGGAAGAAGGAUUCGAUCAAUCACUCGCUGCCGAUUCCCUUGGUGCUUCAUACAUAUGUAGCUACCCUCCUGGGCUACCCUUACAUGGCCUCCGGCCCACACGCACACACGGGCUCAAGGCCCACGCACACACUAGCAUUGCAAUUCAAUUAUCUGAAUAACUGACUGCACUAGUUCAGUCCGCUACUGAUGCAUCAGUAGGCGCGACAGAGAGAGGUGAGGAGAAGGGGCCACGCGAGCGAGAAAGAAACAGAUGGGAUGGAAGGCAGAAAGGAAGAGCAGGCCGGCGGGGCUCCUCUGCUUGGUCACCUGAGGCGAGGUGCUCCAGGGGCGAGCAGGAGGAGGCUGGAUCGAGGGUGGUUCGGGUGUCGGGUCUUUGUUCGUGUCCUAGCAGAGAAGAAAACGAAGAAGGAAGAGAGAUUAGAGCAAGGGAGGGAGAAGAAAGCAGUGGAGGAAGGGCGUCACGCGAGCCUGGUUGCGGUCGCCGAUGGAGCUCGCUCCAGCGGCUCGACUCGCCGCGAAGGCUGCCGCCACUGCCGCCGUGCAGUGUGAGGCAGAGCCGACCCGGAGCUGGUUCACCCGUCACUCGUGCUGGGGUCUGACAUGGUGUAAAGCGAGCAGGCUGCCGGAGCCCCCCUGCUUCCGUCCCAUGCACAAGAGGUGUUUGCUGAAAUGCCAAAGAGAGAGAGAGGAGGGAAGGAAGAAGAAGGUUGAUGAUGAUGUGUGGGCCCCACCUGUCAUAACGGUUAACUUAACGGUCAAAAUAAAAAGAGUUGACUUUGCUGCCACGUCAUCCCUGACUUGUGGGCCCAUCCUGUCAGAAAGGCGUUUAGAAGAGGCGAAUCGGGCACUUUGACAGGAUGGGCCCACAAGUCAGGGAUGACGUGGCAGCAAAGUCAACUCUUUUACUCUAUAAAUCGGGCACUUUGACAGGAUGGGCCCACAAGUCAGGGAUGAUGUGACAGCAAAGUCAACUCUUUUACUCUAUAAAUCGGGCACUUAUAAAUUCGUAGAGGCAAAUCGGGCACUUUGACAGGAUGGGCCCACAAGUCAGGGAUGACGUGGCAGCAAAGUCAACUCUUUUACUCUAUAAAUCGGGCACUUAUAAAUUCCACCCAACCUACGAAUCUCCUCUAUAAAUUUCUCAACUCCAUCUAAAAAUAAUAUCCCAAAACCUAAAUAUGUGUGGGGUCAUCACCUCCAUCUAAAAAGGAAAAAAAUCAUUUAAAAAAAUUCCUCAACUCCAUCUAAAAAUAAUAUCCCAAAAACUUUUUCGCUGCGGCCAACCAGCUUGCACCACGUGGCAUAGAUGGUUGGCCAUCCUUCACGCGACCCUUAAUGGGUUUAAUAAUGAUGUCCAUGGGUAGUCACAGAACCAUUGACUUAGAGUUGGUGAAACAACAUUAGCGUCCUUUAUGACCGUCAUGCGGUUUAUGAUUAGAGAAGACAGUAAAAAUAUGGUUGGAGACAUGCAGCAUCUGAGAAAUUUAAAUGAUCAGAGUAGGUUGUGAAGCGAAAGUGCUUAUCUGCACACGAGCACACAUGCACGUGAUAUCUACGCUGUCCGCUCUCACCAAGAUGCGUUACAGGCUGUGUAUCUCCGGAUGUAUAAUCUAUAGUAUUUCCUGUAAAGGAGAAGGCUUGGCCCACAACUGCGAUGCAGUUAAUGCUGCAUGCGCCGUUAAAUCCCACCCGGUACAAAUUUUGACUUAUGUCCUAGGCCGCUUCUUUCUCCUACUGGGCCGUGACAUUUAAGACUGGUCUCCACGUGCCAACCGUCAAGUCUUCUUCAAGUUUCUGGCAAAGCCGGCCUGCAGAGAGAUCGAAUCACCAGUUCACCACGGUGAUCAACUACUACUCUGUUCACUGGACUAUUUGCUAAACCUGGUCACUGGAGCAAUUGCUUUCUCCUCUGUUCUCGUUGCUCUAUUCAGCGGCUGAUGUGUUUAGUCUUUUGUUGGACACAAGGGUGUAACUGUUGACAAGUGGCAGGAGAGGGAAAACUGAAUGCAAUUUGGCACAACAAGAUCAUACGUAAACUGCAGUGCAGAGAAAAUAUCCAAAAUGUUGAAUCAACUAUUCUUUCUUGGUCAUAAACAUUGUCAUUUCAAUGCAGAAAACUAUGAGCUGAAUAAAAAUUGUUGCGGCCAGUUCCGAGUUCAUAAAAUGUUGAACUGAUAGUGCAUCUCUGAAAUUUACCAAUAAAAAUCUAUAUUCAUGCCAAUUGUAUUUCCAAACUGAAUUUAAAAGCUAAUUCAAAACUCCUCUGGUCAGUUCUAAAAUCACAAAAAUAUAGGCCUGCGGUUGUGUUCUUGAAAAAAGCCCACAAUUAUGAGCUGAGAAGUGCUUGAUCCCAACAGUUCCAAAAUCACAAAAAACACAAAGGGAAAGACUAAACACAUCGGCCGAGAAGUGAUUCAUUGUUUUUUUCUUGUGACCUUUGAACAUGUUAUCCUGCAAUUUACACAUAUAACAAAACUCAAUGAGAGAGAGAGAGAGGAGAGAUUAAACAAUGCAGGCUUACAUCUACAUAAUCAAGAGAUAUUGAUUAAUAUAGAAACUGGAAUUAACAAGCAUGAAUGUUAAAUGAUAGUUAGAGCAUGUUCUCAAGGAUUCAACAACGUAAGGUGAGCAAAUAAUAAUCUACAACGUAUUAGACUAGGCUACAAAAGUGUAUAGUAUGUCUAAAGAACGCCAACAAAACCACUAUGCUACAGCAUGUUACCUUCCAACAACAGAGAAUGCUUGAGCAUAAUUUUUUAGCUGAAUGACGAAAAAAGAAGACAAAACAACAAGCCACUAAGCCCAGUGAGAGAAGAAGAGUAUACUCAGUGCUGGCAAGAUAAAGACAUUCAGGAAAACAAUUUGACCGGUUGGCCAACUUAGAGGGUUAUCAUCGCAGACUAGCUCUUCCCAUGUCUGAUACCAAAACCCUUCUUCCAUGAAUAAAGGUUAUAAAAAGCAUACGCCUCUCCCAGAGGGUCAAAACAUGUCCCAAGCAUCGCCAUGAUUACCUUAUCGGUUGGAUUGUUUUGAACGCACCCAACUGCUUCUCAAUUCUCAAGGGCACUUACACGCGACAGGCAUGGUGUCCUUGGGGCAGCAACUCCAAUGCUCAUCCUGCAAAAGUUUCCUUUUAAUACUCAGCAGCAUUCUUGAUCGGAGACCAUGUUCUAAAGAGAAAUUAGAUACAGGGCAACGGUAAAUUAGCAUAGUAAACCAAAAUGGACUCCCAACAUAAUGACGAACAGCCCAAGUGCAUCAUCUUUCCUACUACACACGUUGCAAUUAGAUACAAGCAAUCACAUACAUACGAACUGGGAAAUCUUCAUAUUUGCACAUUGCAAUACAAACAUUCUUUCUCGCAUUUCAGAAUUUAGGGUGUAAUCAUUUCUCCAGGGGCGCAACAAUAUGUGAAAAACGAAUCAUUCAACUCACAACCAUCUGGUGUAUCCCUCUACUGUAGUCUUUUAAUUACAAGCAACCACACACAUAUGAACGCAGAUUGUUCAGAUUUGCACCACGAAUUGUAUGAUUACAAUGUAAGAGAGAAUGUCUCCGUUGCAAAACAUGAGGUGCCAGACUCAUCUGAGAUCCCACCGGUACACUAGCUUGAUAAUUAUGAGCAACCACACACAUAUGAACAGAGAUUGUUCAGAUUUGCAUCACCAAUUUCUUCAGAUUUGUAUGGACAUACCUGCAGCUCCAUCCUGGAGCUCUAAGGUCCAUCUUGCCUAUCAAUUGUUCGGAAGCCUGCAGUGAAUCCUCCUGUGAUCUCCCACCUUCGCCCCCCGCACACAAAUCUGACCGUGAAAGCUCUAGGCGCGAGAGGCUCCAUUUGGGCGUAACUAUCAGUAACCUUCUCAAGCACCAUAGAUCUGCGCAGCAAGAUGAGGAAAUUCCAGAUCGACACCAUGGGAUCCAGAAUCGAACAAAAACUCAGACGAAUCUAAUGAGCUCUUACGCUACCUUAUUUGGCUGCAUAGGAUCUCCAUGCCCACCAGUGGAUGCGGCCCUCCUGGAUUCGCCGCCCCGCAAGCUCACCCCUCUCGCCAUUGAAGAAUCCAGGAGACCAGUACCAUCCGCCCCCAAAUCCUCGCAUUUACUGCUCCGUUGCCAGAGUUAACGAAAAGCACAUAUCCUGAUCCAUGGAUCAGCAACGAAACCGACGAGUUGGUUGAGCCACGGCUCAACUUCCUGCUGUCCACGUCCGCCGGGCGCCGUCUCCGUACUUGCCCAUAGCUCAGGUGUAUUUUCUCCUUUCCAUAUUUACAGAUGCUCGCGAAUCUCGCACAGCUAUUUAAUGCUCCGUAUCCCAACACGCCGCUCGACCGCUCAGAUAUAGAGCACAUAUGAGCUCGAGCGCAGAAACACCGUGUCCAUGAACGUUGUGAAGAGAACUAAAACAGGAUCAACUUUGAGCUGAACUCACAUUUUUGUCUUUGUUAUUUUUGCCUUUUACAAAAUAGUUGGUCCCACACGAAUGUAGUGUAUUUGUGAGUAAAGUACAUUGGUUUAUAUAUGUCCUGGAAGGUUGCUAGUUCCAUAUAUGGGGAUGUAUGUAUUUUUUUAUUUAAAAAAGAUGUUCGACCCAUAUCUGAACUCACCAUCAACUCAAAUCUUUAAAAGCGGGAAAUAUUUUUUCCUUUCUCCUUUUCCUUGCUGGAUCUUUUACUCUAUUACUAUUUCAUUUUUCUAUUUUUUUCCUUUUCAACUUUUAUUUUCAUUUUAGAAAAAAAAUAAAAAAAAUCAACUAUUGUUUGGGAUUUCAUUUUUUUUCUAAUUUCAAAAAAGUAUUCAAACAUGUUUGGGUUUCCAAAAUUGGUUCGGAAUUUCAAAAUAUGUUCCCAUGUUUCCAAACAUGUUGAGAAUAAAAAGGAAUUUUAAAAAAUGUUCAGGAUUGUGAAUAUUGGUCCGAAAUAUAAAAUGUUACCAUUUUCAAAAUUCUUUGGGGAAAUUCAUAAAAAUGUUUGCUUCCUUAAAAAUAUAUGCAGUAAUUAAAAAAAAAUGCUUCCGUUUCUUAAAUUUGUUCACAAAUUCAAAAGAAUUCAGAGUUCUUCGAACCGCCGGCUACAAUAAGCCUUAUGCUAGAGUAACGUACGUAGCUGGUCGUGUCUAUGUUUUGCAGUGUCUUGCUAGAUUUUGUACAUAGCAUCACUAGGAAUGUAAAAUAAGCUAUUCUACAGUCACGCUUAGAAUAGCGUUACCCUAUAUAUAUGUUGCUUAUGUAUACAAAAUAUGUACAUUAUGUUUGAAAAAAUAAAGAAACAAAGAAAAUGGAAGAAGACAAAAAGACCGAAGAACACCAAUGCAAAAGAAUGAAAAUAGAGAAAACCGAGAAAGAAGCAAAGAAAAACAUAGAAAACUGAUGAACAACAAGAAAGAAAGUAAGAAAACCAAAGAAAAAAUAGGAAAGAAAAAACCAGUGAAAACCAAGGAAAAAAUAAAGAAAACUAGAAGAAAGCAGAAACCCCAAUGAAAACCUAUAAAAAACGAAGAAACUGGGAAAAACAAAUGAAGAAACUAAAGAAAAAAAGAAAAAAGAAAAAACCUGAACAAAACCGAGCCAAAAUUAAAAAUAAAACAUCCGCGAGCGAUAGAAUAUCCUGAACCUUUUUUGAAUCAAACAUGAUCAAUUAUUGUACUUGUAUGAAAAGAUUAACCAGAGAAUGACUUUCAUUGUAUCCUGGGUCCAAGAUUCACCAAAAAACGCUAUAUACAAAUACGAUUCAUGCUAUACGGUCGGCAUAAAUUUGCCUUUUUUGAGGUCAAUUAGAACCAUUUCUUGGCCAAACUUUUUAUAGGAGUACAACACUUGAUCAUAUUUAAUUAAAAAAAGGUUCAUAUUUUUUUUGAUUUUUUUGAAUUGCUAAAUUAUUGGGCGUAUAUAGGGUGGGCUGGCACCAAGAGCAUCAAGUUUGUGUCAACUGGACAGCUACCAUAGACGUAAGGUUCAAAAAAGGAAAAAACCAUAGGCUUAUGCAAUCUUUCGAGAAUCCAUGUCUUGCAGCAGACGCCAGACGACGUCCAAGUCCAACACCAUGACAGCCAACUUGUAGCUCAAGCCAAACUGAAUCUAUAGGUCGAGCGGGACCCCGUCGUCGGCACCUGGUAAGUUGCAACUCAAGCCGCAGGCCACCACCGCCGGAAACCGACCGAGCAGAUGCCGCUACCGGACAUCGUCAAGGAGACAGGCCUUGGCCUCAUCCUGGGCGCCAUUGGAGGCUCCUCCUACUACUUCAUCAGUGGCCUCUGCAGCUCCCCCGAAGGCCGCCGGCUUGCCGGCGGCGCCCAGGCAGUCCUUACUAAUGCGCCCCGCAUCGGCUAUUGGGUGGCCUUGUUUGGUCUCCAGGGAGCCAUUGACUGCGCCAUGGAGCACGUGAACAAGAAGGACGACCCCCUCAACACCGUCAUCUCCUGGGCCGGCGCCCACGCCGUCGUCUCCAUGCGCCAGGGGCCACGCGCCGCCGCCCUCGCCGGGUUCAAGGGUGCGGCCGUCGGGGGGCUCGCCGAGAUCGCUGCGUACGGCCUUGAUAUUUGAUGCUAUGAGGAGUUUUUUUUUUCAGCUGCAAGCUCUGCUAAAAUUUAGGAGUUGGAUGCCGUAAUUUUUGUUAACACACAUUAGUAUUUGCAUACAUAUGGGAGCGUCCUGUUCUUCACUCGUUAUUCCCAUUGUUCUAGCUGCGAAUGCAAUCUUUAUAUAUUCUAAGAGCCCUGUAUUUCUCUCUAUUUUUUGUGUGUUCUAUCAAACUCACCACACGUUAACCUGGUUUCCCGCGUACUAACCAGGUAAUUAUCACUUCUUCUUAAUCAAUGAAAAUGAUAAGUCUUUUGCUUCAUUAAAAAAAAGUCACCACACUUUCAACACAAAGCAUCCUUCAUCCAACUUCACAGAUUUGAAUAUACAGAUCAUUGUCAUGGUAUUCAUUGGACAAGUCUUCCUCUGCGUCUAGGUUUGCAUGUGCAUAGAGCGCGUACAUGCAUGCAGACUAAUCUGUCUAUGAUCCUCCACACUAGAUCAGGACGGAACGGACUUGACCUGACCAGACCACACACCGCACCGGUCAGCUCCGUCCCCUCUACCAUGACCGCCUGGGCCUGCACACACAAGGCCACCGUUGUAUUGAAUUCAUACUCCAGCCAACUCAUCUAAAAAUCCAAACUGAUGGAGGGAGGUGAGCAAUAUAUUUCAACACGUUGCCUCGAAACUACCACCACCCACCUUCUGCAGCACAUCGUGUAGGUGCAAGCCACGCCAUUGCCUUGCACCCCCGAGAAAAGCUUGAAUUCAACCUUGAAUUUAUAUUCGAAGUCCGGAUUGAACCAUUACCUUGAAAUUCCUAAACUAGCACCCUGUCAUUUCUAAUCCCGGUCAACCAUAACCAUUUUUUUUCUCAAAAAGCUUUGUUGGCUCUCUAGGAUUGCUUUUGUGGCACAAGCACGAGUGGCGAUAUGUAAGGUUUCUCAUUGGCAUAAUUCGAAUUAANNNNNNNNNNNNNNNNNNNNNNNNNNNNNNNNNNNNNNNNNNNNNNNNNNNNNNNNNNNNNNNNNNNNNNNNNNNNNNNNNNNNNNNNNNNNNNNNNNNNNNNNNNNNNNNNNNNNNNNNNNNNNNNNNNNNNNNNNNNNNNNNNNNNNNNNNNNNNNNNNNNNNNNNNNNNNNNNNNNNNNNNNNNNNNNNNNNNNNNNNNNNNNNNNNNNNNNNNNNNNNNNNNNNNNNNNNNNNNNNNNNNNNNNNNNNNNNNNNNNNNNNNNNNNNNNNNNNNNNNNNNNNNNNNNNNNNNNNNNNNNNNNNNNNNNNNNNNNNNNNNNNNNNNNNNNCCUCACAUCAUCGAGUGCCUGCCAACUAGCCAUUUCUCCAGCCUACUACCCGGGGGCAGAACUAUAGUGUUGGGCCGGGGCCAAUUGACCCCGAUGACCUUGACCCAAACUCUUGUAUGUGUGCUUGGGCCUUUUCAAAGAAAACAAAUAAAAAACUAAUCUAGGUUAGAACCCACCACGAUCACCUAAAUUUCCUAUUUCAUGCCUAGUGGAAUAGUGCUUCUUCCUACAAAACUUGGACCCUCCCGCUAAUGGGCCGACUGAUGUAGGGGGAUAUUUUUCCCAAUUUUGGGAAGAUUCUGCAUAGCUUUUUCUCCUCUUUUGUGUAUCUUGUGUGCCCUUUUUUAAUAUUAUUUUUCAUUUUUUCUUGGCAAGUUUUAAAUUUUUAUUUUUUAAUUUAUGUACAUUAAAAAACACUUUAGAAUAUUUUUUAAAUUCUUGAGCAUUUUUUAAUCUGUUGGCCUUUUAAAUAUUUAGGAACGGUUUUUAAAUUCAUGAACAUUUAUUUAUAUUUGUAAUCAAUUUUAAAUUCAUGAUUUUUUUCUUAUUCUCACGAACAUUUUUGAAUUUUUUUGAUUCAUGAACUGUAUUGAAAAAAUCAAUGUUAUUUUAAAUUCGUGAACAAUCUUUGGAAUACAUAUUUUAUUUACUCUUUUAAAAGGUAGCUGUUUCCAAAGAGAGCAGAAAACCUGCUUUUCAUGUGGAAGUGAACACUCAACAGCGACCAUUUUCCCCAGUCUUGAGAGCUCAAUGCGCGGUCCGUAAAUUUUAAAUCCGUGAAUAUUUUUGAACUUUAGAACAAUAAUAUUAUUCUAAAUUUAUAAAAAAUGAAUUCAUUAAUCUUUAUAAUCUAUAAAAAUAUGGUAAUCUUUUUUGUCUUCAGAAGGGAGCAGAAAACAGAUAUUUGAUGUGGAGGUGAACACUUAGCAGCGAUCGAUUUUCCCGUCGAAGCCAGUCGUGAGAGCUAAAUGGGCCGGGCCAUCCACCACCGUAACGUGCAAACUUUCGAGAAUCGGUGUCCGUGUCUUGCAGCAGACGUGAGAGGCGAGGAGUCCAACACCAUGACUGCCAACUUGUAACUCAAGCCAAGUUGAGUUAUUAUAGGUCACGCGAUAUCUCGUCGUCGCCAACUUAUAACUCAAGCCGCCGGCCACCACCGCCACGCCACUUCCAUACACCGCCGGAAACCGAUGGAGCAGGGCACCAACACGGCGCCGGCGCCGCUACCGCAAGUCGCCAAGGAGACAGGCCAUGGCAUCGCCGUUAUCGCCGCUGGAGGCUCCGCCUUCUACUUCCUCAAGGGCCUGCGCAACUCCCCCAAAGGCGGCCGCCUAGCCGCCGCCGCCCAGGCGGUCCGCACAAACGCGUCCCGAAUCGGCGGCUGGGGGGUCUGGCUCGGCGCCCAGGCAGCAAUUGACAGCGCCCUGGAGCGCGUGAACAAGAAGGACGACCGCUUCAACACCAUGAUCUCCUGUGGCGCCGCCAGCGCCCUCGUCUCCGUGCUCCGGGGUCCACGCGCCGCCGCCCUCUCCGGGAUCAAGGGCGCCGUCUUCGGUGGGCUCGCAGAGAUCGCUAUACGCGGCCUUAAACGCUUCGAGGCCGACCUACCGGAACCGGAGAAGUGAUCAAUGGUGCUGUGAGGGUUUUUCCGGCUGCUUUUCCGAUCGAGCUUGCCCACUAAACUUUUAUUACUGCUUGUACUCUGAAAGUCUGAAUGUUACUAAAAUUUAGGCGCUGUACGUAAUUUUUGUUAAUACGCAUUACUACAUCUACAUACAUGGAUCGUUUUUUUGUUUCUUGAGCCGUUGUUCCCGUUGUUCAAGAUGCGAGUGCGAUCAUAGUAUAAUCUAGAGCCCAACGAGGAGAUGAUGUAGGAGCUCGGCGGCAUCAUCUUCAGUCUCCACCGUACUCCUCAGCACCGAAGCCUUCUUUGAACUUGCAUGGAAUUAUUACAAUUGACUAUGCGGAUCACUGAUAUUCAUCGGUCAAUUCUUCCUCCAUGUUCCUAAAAAAGUUCACGUCCAUAUCAGUUAUCGUUCUUGGCAUACAGUUAUACACGACCCACACCGGAUGCAAAUAUUGGCCCAAAGCCAUCGUUCAGUUGUUUGGCGCAUGGAAGAAGUGGCCGUACAAACCGUCAGGCCGGGCAUCGAUCAGCAUGUGCACACAUCCAUACAUGCAUGAUCCACACACCCCACAAUCGGCAAAAACUAGCACAUCCAUGUCGAGGGCAUCUGCCAAACACAGUUCCCUAAUGGCUUUGAGAAGGUCUGCGGGCAACUUCAGCCGGUAGUCGUGCCAAUGUUUCUACAAUGAGACUACAUGUCACAUCUGAACUUUGGUGUCAUUACCCUGAUCCUUGGUUGAGGCAACGGAUAUUCGACACUUUAGACCGAUCACGGUGAUUAAAGUGAUCUAGCGGAUUCUUUUGAAGGUGUGUGUGGCUUGGUUUGCCCCGGUGGUGGAACACCUUUCUCGCCCCUAUGAGUCCACUUUUCUAUAAGGUCGUCAUGUUCAUGGUGGGAUCCAUGGAAAAAAAAUCAUGGUGGGAUUCUGGCUCUUCGUGAGAUUUGAUCAUGAGGUUACAUAAAGGCGUAUUCCUUAAGUUAGACUUCGAAAAGCCAUACAAUCACAUUAAUGAAUCCUUCCUUCAUUUAGUUUUUUAGUGGAGGGGGUUUGAGGAAGGCUGGUGCUCGUGGAUCAUGAAGUUGAUUCGGAGCAGCAUCAUCAUGAUUAACAUUAAUGGGGAGGUAGCCCCCCUCCCCCCCCCUCUUUAGGUAUUCUCGUGGGUUGAGGCAGGGGGAUCCUAUUUCCCCACUCAUCUUUAACCUCGUAGGCGAUGCCCUUGCAGCCAUCUUGGAUAAGGCAAGGAUGGCCGACCACCUCUUUGGGGUGGUUGUGCAUCUUAUCGAUGGAGGUGGUGUCACGCACCUGCAAUAUGCGGAUGAUACCAUGAUUAUGGCCGAGGGGUGACAUUAAUGAAUGUCACCCCUAUCUCUCAUCCAAGAGGUGGAGGAAUGUUGCCUUUAAGUAGGGCUGGAAAAAAAGCUCGAAGCUCGUGAGCUAAAUGAGUAGCUCGUGACUCGGCUCGAAUCGACUCGAACUCGAAGAAUAACGAGCCGAGCCGAGCUUUAGUUUAAGAUCGUUUAUAGACCAAGUUAAACGAGCCAAUCUCACGAAUACUCGUAUAACUCGUUAGGCUCGGUGCAAAAGAUCAGCCACUCCCAAUACAAAAAAAGAUCAGCCACUCAACACCCUAUGUCCCAGGCGCACAACACAAGGCCUAGCCGUUGAAGGCCCAACCGCCUAGGAGACUCAUGCGUUACAAGGAAAUUACUAUUUUUAGUGAUAUAUAUGUUUAAUAUAUACAUAAUCAUUUUUAUAAUAUUUGAGGGUUUUAUGUUCAUAUCUUUAACGAGCUUAACAAGCUAAAUGAGCUAGCUCGCGAGUUAUACAAGUCGAGCCAAUCUUGAAUUUGAACUCGUUAUAAUAACGAGUCGAGUCGAGCUAGUUCGUUAACGAAACGAGCUCUAGUGAGUCGAGCCGAGCUGGCUCGACUCAGCUCGAAUUCCAUCCCUACCUUUAAGUGUUGUAUGAACUUUAUGUAUGAACUUGUAUUAAUUUGGUCUAUUCGGUGCUGUGUAAUGAAG